RNAcentral lists this ribosomal RNA (427 nucleotides) under uncultured bacterium. RNAcentral's name for it is "partial 16S ribosomal RNA". It matches the Rfam family "Bacterial small subunit ribosomal RNA", at positions 355 to 774 of the family's 1533-position model. The record is from RNAcentral.
UGGGGAAUAUUGGACAAUGGGCGCAAGCCUGAUCCAGCCAUGCCGCGUGUGUGAAGAAGGUCUUCGGAUUGUAAAGCACUUUAAGUUGGGAGGAAGGGCAUUAACCUAAUACGUUAGUGUUUUGACGUUACCGACAGAAUAAGCACCGGCUAACUCUGUGCCAGCAGCCGCGGUAAUACAGAGGGUGCAAGCGUUAAUCGGAAUUACUGGGCGUAAAGCGCGCGUAGGUGGUUUGUUAAGUUGGAUGUGAAAUCCCCGGGCUCAACCUGGGAACUGCAUUCAAAACUGACUGACUAGAGUAUGGUAGAGGGUGGUGGAAUUUCCUGUGUAGCGGUGAAAUGCGUAGAUAUAGGAAGGAACACCAGUGGCGAAGGCGACCACCUGGACUAAUACUGACACUGAGGUGCGAAAGCGUGGGGAGCAAACA